RNAcentral lists this ribosomal RNA (440 nucleotides) under uncultured bacterium. Its description in RNAcentral is "partial 16S ribosomal RNA". It matches the Rfam family "Bacterial small subunit ribosomal RNA", at positions 338 to 795 of the family's 1533-position model. The record is from RNAcentral.
ACUACGGGGGGCAGCAGUGGGGGAUAUUGCACAAUGGGGGAAACCCUGAUGCAGCGACGCCGCGUGUGGGAAGACGGUCCUCUGGAUUGUAAACCACUGUCCCCAGGGACGAAGAUGACGGUACCUGGGGAGGAAGCUCCGGCUAACUACGUGCCAGCAGCCGCGGUAAUACGUAGGGAGCGAGCGUUGUCCGGAAUUACUGGGUGUAAAGGGAGCGUAGGCGGGACUGCAAGUUGGGUGUCAAAUCUACCGGCUCAACCGGUAGCCGCACUCAAAACUGCAGUUCUUGAGUGAAGUAGAGGCAGGCGGAAUGCCUAGUGUAGCGGUGAAAUGCGUAGAUAUUAGGAGGAACACCAGUGGCGAAGGCGGCCUGCUGGGCUUUUACUGACGCUGAGGCUCGAAAGUGUGGGGAGCAAACAGGAUUAGAUACCCCUGUAGUC